Molecule: ribosomal RNA, 500 nt
Filed under: uncultured bacterium
Lineage: Bacteria
Description: partial 16S ribosomal RNA
Rfam family: Bacterial small subunit ribosomal RNA
Source: RNAcentral
AUUGAACGCUGGCGGCAUGCCUUACACAUGCAAGUCGAACGGCAGCACGGGAGCAAUCCUGGUGGCGAGUGGCGAACGGGUGAGUAAUAUAUCGGAACGUGCCCAGCCGUGGGGGAUAACGCAGCGAAAGCUGUGCUAAUACCGCAUACGAUCUACGGAUGAAAGCGGGGGAUCGCAAGACCUCGCGCGAUUGGAGCGGCCGAUAUAAGAUUAGCUAGUUGGUGGGGUAAAGGCCUACCAAGGCGACGAUCUGUAGCUGGUCUGAGAGGACGACCCGCCACACUGGAACUGAGAAACGGGCCAGACGCCUACGGGAGGCAGCAGUGGGGAAUUUUGGACAGUGGGCGCAAGCCUGAUCCAGCAAUGCCGCGUGCAGGAUGAAGGCCUUCGGGUUGUAAACUGCUUUUGUACGGAACGAAACGGUGAGCUCUAAUACAGUUUGCUAAUGACGGUAUCGUAAGAAUAAGCACCGGCUAACUACGUGCCAGCCGCCGCCGUAA